Sinocyclocheilus rhinocerous is the source of this 278-nucleotide long non-coding RNA. RefSeq lists it as uncharacterized. NCBI's taxonomy places the organism in Eukaryota, Metazoa, Chordata, Actinopteri, Cypriniformes, Cyprinidae. The transcript is spliced from 3 exons. The record is from RefSeq and is a predicted model, not a curated record.
CUUACCCCCAGUGUUGUGUGCUUUCCUGGUGUUUUGUUCUGUAAUGAUUGGAAUCUCCUUGCUCCAGCACAGUACGCAUGACAACUGUAGCUUUUACCAAUGGCCUUUUCCGUGAGCGCUCCAUUUUAGCAGAGCAUUUUAAAUGGCUUUCAUCUCUGAACAAGGCGACUUAGGAAUUUUUACCUUGGACAAGGACAGGCUAAUUCUAGAGGCUUCAUUCUGGAGCUCAGAUGACCCGUGAAAUAUGUAGGGCACACUUAACCUCACCUUCUCACCGA